UCCAGACUCCUACGGGAGGCAGCAGUGGGGGAUAUUGCACAAUGGGGGGAACCCUGAUGCAGCGACGCCGCGUGGGUGAAGGAGCGUUUCGGCGCGUAAAGCCCUAUCGGCAGGGAAGAAGGAGGACGGUACCUGACUAAGAAGCCCCGGCUAACUACGUGCCAGCAGCCGCGGUAAUACGUGGGGGGCAAGCGUUAUCCGGAUUUACUGGGUGUAAAGGGGGCGCAGACGGCAGCGCAAGCCAGGAGUGAAAGCCCGGGGCCCAACCCCGGGACUGCUCUUGGAACUGCGCGGCUGGAGUGCAGGAGGGGCAGGCGGAAUUCCUGGUGUAGCGGUGAAAUGCGUAGAUAUCAGGAGGAACACCGGUGGCGAAGGCGGCCUGCUGGACUGCGACUGACGUUGAGGCCCGAAAGCGUGGGGAGCAAACAGGAUUAGAUACCCGGGUAAGC
Molecule: ribosomal RNA, 449 nt
Filed under: uncultured bacterium
Lineage: Bacteria
Description: partial 16S ribosomal RNA
Rfam family: Bacterial small subunit ribosomal RNA
Source: RNAcentral